CCCAGACAGCCAGGAUGUUGGCUUAGAAGCAGCCAUCAUUUAAAGAAAGCGUAAUAGCUCACUGGUCGAGUCGGCCUGCGCGGAAGAUGUAACGGGGCUAAACCAUGCACCGAAGCUGCGGCAGCGACGCUUAUGCGUUGUUGGGUAGGGGAGCGUUCUGUAAGCCUGCGAAGGUGUGCUGUGAGGCAUGCUGGAGGUAUCAGAAGUGCGAAUGCUGACAUAAGUAACGAUAAAGCGGGUGAAAAGCCCGCUCGC
This 255-nucleotide ribosomal RNA is filed under the name Shigella sonnei. RNAcentral describes it as "partial 23S ribosomal RNA". It matches the Rfam family "Bacterial large subunit ribosomal RNA", at positions 1084 to 1337 of the family's 2925-position model. The record is from RNAcentral. Lineage: Bacteria; Pseudomonadati; Pseudomonadota; Gammaproteobacteria; Enterobacterales; Enterobacteriaceae.